This 1242-nucleotide ribosomal RNA is filed under the name uncultured Helotiales. RNAcentral's name for it is "eukaryotic LSU rRNA". The stretch from base 653 to 1242 matches the Rfam family "Eukaryotic large subunit ribosomal RNA", at positions 1 to 594 of the family's 3401-position model. The record is from RNAcentral. Lineage: Eukaryota; Fungi; Ascomycota; Leotiomycetes; Helotiales.
UCUUGGUCAUUUAGAGGAAGUAAAAGUCGUAACAAGGUCUCCGUAGGUGAACCUGCGGAGGGAUCAUUACAGAGACUCUGCCCCUUGGGUAGACCUCCCACCCUGUGUUGUUGUACCUUCGUUGCUUUGGCGGGCCGCGGGGCUCCGGUCCUGCCCCUGGCUCCGGCUAGGGCGCGCCCGCCAGAGGACCUCAAAACCUGAGUGUUAGUGUCGUCUGAGUACUAUCUAAUAGUUAAAACUUUCAACAACGGAUCUCUUGGUUCUGGCAUCGAUGAAGAACGCAGCGAAAUGCGAUAAGUAAUGUGAAUUGCAGAAUUCAGUGAAUCAUCGAAUCUUUGAACGCACAUUGCGCCCCUUGGUAUUCCGGGGGGCAUGCCUGUUCGAGCGUCAUUACAACCCUCAAGCUCUGCUUGGUCUUGGGCGUCACCGGUCCCCGGUGUGCCUUAAACUCAGUGGCGGCGCCAUCUGGCUCUAAGCGUAGUACAUACUCUCGCUACAGACGCCCGGUGGACGCUGGCCAGCAACCCCCAACUCACUAAGGUUGACCUCGGAUCAGGCAGGGAGACCCGCUGAAUUUAAGCAUAUCAAUAAGACGGUAGCAAGCUUCGAAUCCCUUUAUUGUGUCUUUACACACACAAUAUAUUAGUGAAUCUGACCUCAAAUCAGGUAGGACUACCCGCUGAACUUAAGCAUAUCAAUAAGCGGAGGAAAAGAAACCAACAGGGAUUACCUCAGUAACGGCGAGUGAAGCGGUAACAGCUCAAAUUUGAAAUCUGGGUCUUUCAGGCUCCGAGUUGUAAUUUGUAGAAGAUGCUUUGGGUGCGGCCCUGGUCUAAGUUCCUUGGAACAGGACGUCAUAGAGGGUGAGAAUCCCGUAUGUGAUCGGUGGCUUGCGCCCGUGUAAAGCUCUUUCGACGAGUCGGGUUGUUUGGGAAUGCAGCUCUAAAUGGGUGGUAAAUUUCAUCUAAAGCUAAAUAUUGGCCAGAGACCGAUAGCGCACAAGUAGAGUGAUCGAAAGAUGAAAAGAACUUUGGAAAGAGAGUUAAACAGUACGUGAAAUUGUUGAAAGGGAAGCGCUUGCAACCAGACUUGCGCGGGGUUGAUCAUCCGGGGUUCUCCCCGGUGCACUCGGCCUCGCUCAGGCCAGCAUCGGUUUCGGUGGUUGGAUAAAGACCUUGGGAAUGUAGCUCCUCUCGGGGAGUGUUAUAGUCCUCGGUGCAAUGCAGCCUACCGGGACCGACG